AGAGUUUGAUCAUGGCUCAGAACGAACGCUGGCGGCGUGGAUAAGACAUGCAAGUCGGACGGGAUUUUCCGUUGUAGCAAUACGAUGGAAAGUCUAGUGGCGAACGGGUGCUUAACACGUGGGCAACCUGCCAGGAAGUGGGGGAUAGCUCGCCGAAAGGCGAAUUAAUACCGCAUGUGAUUAGAGAGGACAUCCUUUCGAAAUUAAAGUCGGGGCAACCUGACGCUUCUUGUGGGGCCCGCGGCCUAUCAGCUAGUUGGUGAGGUAAUGGCUCACCAAGGCUUUGACGGGUAGCUGGUCUGAGAGGACGACCAGCCACACUGGGACUGAGACACGGCCCAGACACCUACGGGUGGCAGCAGUCGAGAAUUUUUGACAAUGGGGGAAACCCUGAUCGAGCGACGCCGCGUGGAGGAUGAAGGUCUUCGGAUUGUAAACUCCUGUCAUUGGGGAACAAGGUGCAUACGUUAACUGCGUGUGCAUUGAUAGUACCCGAAGAGGAAGAGACGGCUAACUCUGUGCCAGCAGCCGCGGUAAUACAGAGGUCUCAAGCGUUGUUCGGAUUCAUUGGGCGUAAAGGGUGCGUAGGCGGCGCGGUAAGUCGGGUGUGAAAUCUCGGAGCUUAACUCCGAAACUGCAUUCGAUACUGCCGUGCUUGAGGACUGGAGAGGAGACUGGAAUUUACGGUGUAGCGGUGAAAUGCGUAGAUAUCGUAAGGAAGACCAGUGGCGAAGGCGGGUCUCUGGACAGUUCCUGACGCUGAGGCACGAAGGUCAGGGGAGCAAACGGGAUUAGAUACCCCAGUAGUCC
This 810-nucleotide ribosomal RNA is filed under the name uncultured bacterium. RNAcentral describes it as "bacterial SSU rRNA". It matches the Rfam family "Bacterial small subunit ribosomal RNA", at positions 8 to 796 of the family's 1533-position model. The record is from RNAcentral.